This 29-nucleotide non-coding RNA is filed under the name Mus musculus (house mouse). Lineage: Eukaryota; Metazoa; Chordata; Mammalia; Rodentia; Muridae. The record is from RNAcentral.
UCAGAGCCAAGUUGGGCAGAACUCUAAGG